Neolamprologus brichardi is the source of this 717-nucleotide long non-coding RNA. RefSeq lists it as uncharacterized. The record is from RefSeq and is a predicted model, not a curated record. NCBI's taxonomy places the organism in Eukaryota, Metazoa, Chordata, Actinopteri, Cichliformes, Cichlidae.
UCUGCCUACAACAGGUGCGGAGACCUAAUCAGCAGGAGAACAAGUCUACACCUCUGAGAAUCCUCCUCCAUUGCAUCCACCUGACUGGACAUGACCCAAAAUGAAAGAGGAUUAUCCAUGGAUAACUCUGAUGCAGUAUGAUCUCUUACAGGAUGUGUUCACUAAGCAGUUUUGCAUAGUGCUCAGGGUGAUUUCUUUUGAGGUAAACAUCCAUUUUUCCUUUAACUCGCUGAUCUCCAGUAAGCCCUGUGAAGAAGAAGAGAAAAAGGUAUUCACUACUUCACAGUGCAGCCUGCUCAUCUCCUCCCUCUGAUAUGAGGACUUCUAUCUCCCCCACAUGAUAGCCAAAGUCAGCCUGGUCCAGAUCGAUCUGCACGCCCUCCUCCUUUAAAGUAAACGAGCGCCGUGCUGUUGUAAACUCUGCAAAGCACACCAGGUCCAGUUUGCUCAGCCACGACUCAUCUUCCUGUGAGAAGCCCGCCUCUGACUCUCUGUCCUGUUUUAUGACCUCUUUGACUCUCAGGUGAAUUUCAGGCAGGCUGGUUAUCUCCUUGUAACGGGUGCACAGCGAUGCUGCUGCUUCACCCUGCUUCCCGCUCUGUGCUUCCGCUGUCGGGCACUUGAGCUCCCAGCAUCCUUUACGUUUACGCAGCCACAUGUCCCUCAAAGUCAGGUGAAACUCAGGAGUAUCGAAAUACUGGUCGUGAAUCUGCUGUU